This 22-nucleotide non-coding RNA is filed under the name Arabidopsis thaliana (thale cress). The record is from RNAcentral. Lineage: Eukaryota; Viridiplantae; Streptophyta; Magnoliopsida; Brassicales; Brassicaceae.
GUCAUCCACACCCAUGCCGCGU